UCACAAUCCCCAGCAGUCCAUAAAUAGAGGCUCUCCAUCUCCUCCCUAUCUUGGAGUCACUUCUCAACAGCGACAUUCAGUUCCCAGCCAAACUUCAGCCAUGAAGAUUCUCUACCUUCUCUUUGCUCUCUUCUUCCUGGUGCUGCAAAGCUCUGCAGGAUUCACCCAGUAUAUCUAUGGCCCCGCUGCUUGUAGACGUGCUCGGGGCACCUGCUUCCGUUUUUGUGUCGGCAAAUACAGACUGAUUGGAACCUGCGGUCAAGGGCAGAAUUGCUGUAAAAGAAGGUAAAGAGAGUGAGUGAUGGCAGCAGAGAUUGUCAAUGCAGGAUCUCUCGGAAUCUGGCAGACGACGCCUUGCUUCUAAAAUCCUUGGAUGCUUUUCAUCUGGGCUGCAAAGUUUCUUGCAAGCUGGAAUAAACCCACAAGGGAGCCCUUGUCGCCCCCCCCCCCCCCCCCCCGCCAAUAGCUUGUUCUUCUCCUUUUAAUAAAAGUAGCUGCUGGUUGUGGUGUAUUGCAAA
This is a long non-coding RNA of Chrysemys picta bellii (western painted turtle), 518 nucleotides long. RefSeq lists it as uncharacterized. The record is from RefSeq and is a predicted model, not a curated record. NCBI's taxonomy places the organism in Eukaryota, Metazoa, Chordata, Testudines, Emydidae.